Molecule: ribosomal RNA, 501 nt
Filed under: uncultured bacterium
Lineage: Bacteria
Description: partial 16S ribosomal RNA
Rfam family: Bacterial small subunit ribosomal RNA
Source: RNAcentral
AUUGAACGCUGGCGGCAGGCUUAACACAUGCAAGUCGAGCGGGGGAAGGUAGCUUGCUACUGGACCUAGCGGCGGACGGGUGAGUAAUGCUUAGGAAUCUGCCUAUUAGUGGGGGACAACAUCUCGAAAGGGAUGCUAAUACCGCAUACGUCCUACGGGAGAAAGCAGGGGAUCUUCGGACCUUGCGCUAAUAGAUGAGCCUAAGUCGGAUUAGCUAGUUGGUGGGGUAAAGGCCUACCAAGGCGACGAUCUGUAGCAGGUCUGAGAGGAUGAUCCGCCACACUGGGACUGAGACACGGCCCAGACUCCUACGGGAGGCAGCAGUGGGGAAUAUUGGACAAUGGGGGGAACCCUGAUCCAGCCAUGCCGCGUGUGUGAAGAAGGCCUUAUGGUUGUAAAGCACUUUAAGCGAGGAGGAGGCUACUUUAGUUAAUACCUAGAGAUAGUGGACGUUACUCGCAGAAUAAGCACCGGCUAACUCUGUGCCAGCCGCCGCGGUAA